Sinocyclocheilus rhinocerous is the source of this 738-nucleotide long non-coding RNA. RefSeq lists it as uncharacterized. The record is from RefSeq and is a predicted model, not a curated record. The transcript has 3 exons. NCBI's taxonomy places the organism in Eukaryota, Metazoa, Chordata, Actinopteri, Cypriniformes, Cyprinidae.
UGUUGUAUUGUCUAAUGGGAAAUGACACUUUGUAGACUUGCUGCAAGCUGUUUGUUGCUCCUUCAGCGUGCUUCAUCUGAUGAAGUUUGGCAUGAAAACGAUAUAUCACUUCAGCUCAAGGACGGCUGGACAUGGGACAUCUGAACCUUUGCAGGGGGCUCACGACUCCAGACACUUGAGGGAGGGAAGGAGGUGUUCCUUUUGGGUUGGCACGACCGGACAUAACAGUGAGAGAGCUUACUGAGAGCGAUGGGCAACCCUAAAAGGGCAAGUGACAGCAACACGAUACCGCUCUUAAAUAAGCAUGCAGAGUCUAUCACACGCACAGUUCAUGCAUUUAGCAUGCAUCUCCCAUAAUUCCUUGCAAGUGGCGAUACAUUUGUACAGAUGUCACCCAUUUGUUCUUGUCAUCCUCUAUUUGGCGAAGAGGGUUUUAGAUUAGUGUGGUAUUAAGUAACUAUGUAUUCCCACUCUCAAGCCAAACCACUCUCCUCUGAGAUGCUGCAGGACGUGUCCAUGUAUAGCUAACAGCACAGCUCUGUUAGGCCUAAAACAAAUGGUCCGCCGUCAUGUGGUAUUAUCGCUGUGGCUACUGCAUUUAUAGCUCCUAAGGCUCUCACAGCUGGCUGCACAGUGCUAUUACUAUCCCACGUAACAUUAAAAAAAAAAAGCUAUAUUUCUGUAUCUAUCUUUUCCAAUCACAUGACAAAGGCUCAUGCUAUAAAUAAAGAGAGCUCA